Molecule: ribosomal RNA, 1644 nt
Filed under: Escherichia coli
Lineage: Bacteria; Pseudomonadati; Pseudomonadota; Gammaproteobacteria; Enterobacterales; Enterobacteriaceae
Description: partial 23S ribosomal RNA
Rfam family: Bacterial large subunit ribosomal RNA
Source: RNAcentral
UCUAAGUACCCCGAGGAAAAGAAAUCAACCGAGAUUCCCCCAGUAGCGGCGAGCGAACGGGGAGCAGCCCAGAGCCUGAAUCAGUGUGUGUGUUAGUGGAAGCGUCUGGAAAGGCGCGUGAUACAGGGUGACAGCCCCGUACACAAAAAUGCACAUGCUGUGAGCUCGAUGAGUAGGGCGGGACACGUGGUAUCCUGUCUGAAUAUGGGGGGACCAUCCUCCAAGGCUAAAUACUCCUGACUGACCGAUAGUGAACCAGUACCGUGAGGGAAAGGCGAAAAGAACCCCGGCGAGGGGAGUGAAAAAGAACCUGAAACCGUGUACGUACAAGCAGUGGGAGCACGCUUAGGCGUGUGACUGCGUACCUUUUGUAUAAUGGGUCAGCGACUUAUAUUCUGUAGCAAGGUUAACCGAAUAGGGGAGCCGAAGGGAAACCGAGUCUUAACUGGGCGUUAAGUUGCAGGGUAUAGACCCGAAACCCGGUGAUCUAGCCAUGGGCAGGUUGAAGGUUGGGUAACACUAACUGGAGGACCGAACCGACUAAUGUUGAAAAAUUAGCGGAUGACUUGUGGCUGGGGGUGAAAGGCCAAUCAAACCGGGAGAUAGCUGGUUCUCCCCGAAAGCUAUUUAGGUAGCGCCUCGUGAAUUCAUCUCCGGGGGUAGAGCACUGUUUCGGCAAGGGGGUCAUCCCGACUUACCAACCCGAUGCAAACUGCGAAUACCGGAGAAUGUUAUCACGGGAGACACACGGCGGGUGCUAACGUCCGUCGUGAAGAGGGAAACAACCCAGACCGCCAGCUAAGGUCCCAAAGUCAUGGUUAAGUGGGAAACGAUGUGGGAAGGCCCAGACAGCCAGGAUGUUGGCUUAGAAGCAGCCAUCAUUUAAAGAAAGCGUAAUAGCUCACUGGUCGAGUCGGCCUGCGCGGAAGAUGUAACGGGGCUAAACCAUGCACCGAAGCUGCGGCAGCGACGCUUAUGCGUUGUUGGGUAGGGGAGCGUUCUGUAAGCCUGUGAAGGUGUACUGUGAGGUAUGCUGGAGGUAUCAGAAGUGCGAAUGCUGACAUAAGUAACGAUAAAGCGGGUGAAAAGCCCGCUCGCCGGAAGACCAAGGGUUCCUGUCCAACGUUAAUCGGGGCAGGGUGAGUCGACCCCUAAGGCGAGGCCGAAAGGCGUAGUCGAUGGGAAACAGGUUAAUAUUCCUGUACUUGGUGUUACUGCGAAGGGGGGACGGAGAAGGCUAUGUUGGCCGGGCGACGGUUGUCCCGGUUUAAGCGUGUAGGCUGGUUUUCCAGGCAAAUCCGGAAAAUCAAGGCUGAGGCGUGAUGACGAGGCACUACGGUGCUGAAGCAACAAAUGCCCUGCUUCCAGGAAAAGCCUCUAAGCAUCAGGUAACAUCAAAUCGUACCCCAAACCGACACAGGUGGUCAGGUAGAGAAUACCAAGGCGCUUGAGAGAACUCGGGUGAAGGAACUAGGCAAAAUGGUGCCGUAACUUCGGGAGAAGGCACGCUGAUAUGUAGGUGAAGUCCCUCGCGGAUGGAGCUGAAAUCAGUCGAAGAUACCAGCUGGCUGCAACUGUUUAUUAAAAACACAGCACUGUGCAAACACGAAAGUGGACGUAUACGGUGUGACGCCUGCCCGGUGC